AUGGUCUUUGUUCUGGGUGGAUCUCUGACUAUUCUAGGUUGCUCCGAUGAGGACAAGCUGCUUCUGCAGUUGGACGGGCCCUCAAGGCUGCUCUGCCUAUUCCUCCUGCUACCCCCACACGUGGGAACACAAAGCCGUCGAUGCAUUGAGGGCUCAGUGUCGUCUCCGCCGGCUGAGCGGCAAGCCGGGGUUGGGCUUGCACACCGUCUAUCAGCACCCUCCCGCGUCUCCAUUCACGGAUCUGCAGUUCUGGGGCUAGGCAACCUUGAAUCCAACGUCCACCUGCAGGCUACAUCUCAGGGGAAAUUGCAAAGCAUAUUAUGA
This 324-nucleotide ribosomal RNA is filed under the name Triticum aestivum (bread wheat). RNAcentral describes it as "partial small subunit ribosomal RNA". The record is from RNAcentral. Lineage: Eukaryota; Viridiplantae; Streptophyta; Magnoliopsida; Poales; Poaceae.